GUUCUAGUUUAAUUUAAAAUGUAAUAUUAGGGGUAUUAGGAUGGGUUUCAAUG
This 53-nucleotide transfer RNA is filed under the name Spirocerca lupi. RNAcentral describes it as "tRNA-Pro". The record is from RNAcentral. Lineage: Eukaryota; Metazoa; Nematoda; Chromadorea; Rhabditida; Thelaziidae.